This 299-nucleotide signal recognition particle RNA is filed under the name Aotus nancymaae (Ma's night monkey). RNAcentral's name for it is "Metazoan signal recognition particle RNA (ENSANAG00000007751.1)". It matches the Rfam family "Metazoan signal recognition particle RNA". Rfam says of the family: The signal recognition particle (SRP) is a universally conserved ribonucleoprotein. Lineage: Eukaryota; Metazoa; Chordata; Mammalia; Primates; Aotidae. The record is from RNAcentral.
GCUGGGCGCGGUGGCGCAUGCCUGUAGUCCCAGCUACUCGGGAGGUUGAGGUGGGAGGAUCGCUUGAGCCCAGGAGUUCUGGGCUGCAAUGCGCUAUGCUGAUCAGGUGUCCGCACUAAGUUCAGCAUCAAUGUGGUGACCUCCUGGAAGCAGGGGACCACCAGAUUGCCUAACGAGGGGUGAACUGGCCCAGGUCGGAAACAGAGCAGGUCAAAACUCCCAUGCUGAUCAGUAGUGGGAUCGUGACUGUGAAUAGCCACUGCACUCCAGCCUGGGCAACACAGCGAGACCCUGUCCCU